Molecule: ribosomal RNA, 253 nt
Filed under: uncultured bacterium
Lineage: Bacteria
Description: partial 16S ribosomal RNA
Rfam family: Bacterial small subunit ribosomal RNA
Source: RNAcentral
UACGAGAGGCCCAAACGUUAUUCGGAUUUACUGGGCUUAAAGAGUCCGUAGGCGGCGCAGAAAGUGGGGUGUGAAAGCCCUCGGCUCAACCGAGGAAUUGCGCUCCAAACUCCUGUGCUUGAGGAAUCUAGAGGUGAGCGGAACUGAUGGUGGAGCGGUGAAAUGCGUUGAUAUCAUCAGGAACACCGGAGGCGAAGGCGGCUCACUGGGGAUUUUCUGACGCUGAGGGACGAAAGCCAGGGGAGCGAACGGG